RNAcentral lists this long non-coding RNA (373 nucleotides) under Homo sapiens (human). RNAcentral describes it as "HSALNT0357109". Lineage: Eukaryota; Metazoa; Chordata; Mammalia; Primates; Hominidae. The record is from RNAcentral.
GUUAAAAGGUUUUUUGUCACUAAAAUGAUCUGUGUAAAUAGGGAAGUAAUGAUUUCAAACUAUAGUUCCGGGUUUUUUUUUUUUUUUUUUUUGAGAAAAGAUGAUUUUGGCGUGAGGAGUUUGUCAGUGUCUAACAAUUCUUUCCUAUAUUUUUCCUGAAGGCACUUGACUUUGGCAGAUAUUGAGAGAAUAGCCCCAUUGGCUGAGGGGGCCUUACCUUAUAACCUGGCAGAACUUCAGAGAAAGUUUGUUUAUUUGAAUCAGGACUCAGGUAAGGUCCACAGAAUGCAACUGUUGAUAGGUCUUUUAAGUCUCUUUUAAUCUGUAGAUUCUUCCUCUACUUUUCUUUUUUUUUUAAUUCCUUGCAAUUUAU